GACAAAAAAAUCAAAAUAAGGAAAUUUAGGUGCGUUUCUGUUAAAUUGUAAUU
RNAcentral lists this transfer RNA (53 nucleotides) under Lycoris chinensis. RNAcentral's name for it is "partial tRNA-Ser". The record is from RNAcentral. RNAcentral also lists the same sequence under 1 other name. Lineage: Eukaryota; Viridiplantae; Streptophyta; Magnoliopsida; Asparagales; Amaryllidaceae.